Molecule: ribosomal RNA, 468 nt
Filed under: uncultured bacterium
Lineage: Bacteria
Description: partial 16S ribosomal RNA
Rfam family: Bacterial small subunit ribosomal RNA
Source: RNAcentral
GACGAACGCUGGCGGCGCGCCUAACACAUGCAAGUCGAACGGAGUCACGAGGAGCUUGCUUUUCUUGACUUAGUGGCGAACGGGUGAGUAACGCGUGAGUAACCUGCCCUGGAGUGGGGGACAACAGUUGGAAACGACUGCUAAUACCGCAUAAGCCCACGGAUCUGCAUGGAUCUGCGGGAAAAGGAUUUAUUCGCUCUAGGAUGGACUCGCGUCCAAUUAGCUAGUUGGUGAGGUAACGGCCCACCAAGGCGACGAUUGGUAGCCGGACUGAGAGGUUGAACGGCCACAGUGGGACUGAGACACGGCCCAGACUCCUACGGGAGGCAGCAGUGGGGGAUAUUGCACAAUGGGGGAAACCCUGAUGCAGCGACGCCGCGUGGAGGAAGAAGGUUUUCGGAUUGUAAACUCCUGUCGUUAGGGACGAUAAUGACGGUACCUAACAAGAAAGCACCAGCUAACUACGUG